GACGAACGCUGGCGGCGUGCUUAACACAUGCAAGUCGAACGGAAAGGCCCUGCUUUUGUGGGGUGCUCGAGUGGCGAACGGGUGAGUAACACGUGAGUAACCUGCCCUUGACUUUGGGAUAACUUCAGGAAACUGGGGCUAAUACCGGAUAGGAGCUCCUGCUGCAUGGUGGGGGUUGGAAAGUUUCGGCGGUUGGGGAUGGACUCGCGGCUUAUCAGCUUGUUGGUGGGGUAGUGGCUUACCAAGGCUUUGACGGGUAGCCGGCCUGAGAGGGUGACCGGCCACAUUGGGACUGAGAUACGGCCCAGACUCCUACGGGAGGCAGGAGUGGGGAAUAUUGCACAAUGGGCGGAAGCAAGAUGCAGCAACGCCGCGUGCGGGAUGACGGCCUUCGGGUUGUAAACCGCUUUCGACUGUGACGAAGCGUGAGUGACGGUAAUGGGUAAAGAAGCACCGGCUAACUACGUG
Molecule: ribosomal RNA, 468 nt
Filed under: uncultured bacterium
Lineage: Bacteria
Description: partial 16S ribosomal RNA
Rfam family: Bacterial small subunit ribosomal RNA
Source: RNAcentral